This 995-nucleotide ribosomal RNA is filed under the name Escherichia coli. Its description in RNAcentral is "partial 23S ribosomal RNA". It matches the Rfam family "Bacterial large subunit ribosomal RNA", at positions 1927 to 2916 of the family's 2925-position model. Lineage: Bacteria; Pseudomonadati; Pseudomonadota; Gammaproteobacteria; Enterobacterales; Enterobacteriaceae. The record is from RNAcentral.
ACGGCGGCCGUAACUAUAACGGUCCUAAGGUAGCGAAAUUCCUUGUCGGGUAAGUUCCGACCUGCACGAAUGGCGUAAUGAUGGCCAGGCUGUCUCCACCCGAGACUCAGUGAAAUUGAACUCGCUGUGAAGAUGCAGUGUACCCGCGGCAAGACGGAAAGACCCCGUGAACCUUUACUAUAGCUUGACACUGAACAUUGAGCCUUGAUGUGUAGGAUAGGUGGGAGGCUUUGAAGUGUGGACGCCAGUCUGCAUGGAGCCGACCUUGAAAUACCACCCUUUAAUGUUUGAUGUUCUAACGUUGACCCGUAAUCCGGGUUGCGGACAGUGUCUGGUGGGUAGUUUGACUGGGGCGGUCUCCUCCUAAAGAGUAACGGAGGAGCACGAAGGUUGGCUAAUCCUGGUCGGACAUCAGGAGGUUAGUGCAAUGGCAUAAGCCAGCUUGACUGCGAGCGUGACGGCGCGAGCAGGUGCGAAAGCAGGUCAUAGUGAUCCGGUGGUUCUGAAUGGAAGGGCCAUCGCUCAACGGAUAAAAGGUACUCCGGGGAUAACAGGCUGAUACCGCCCAAGAGUUCAUAUCGACGGCGGUGUUUGGCACCUCGAUGUCGGCUCAUCACAUCCUGGGGCUGAAGUAGGUCCCAAGGGUAUGGCUGUUCGCCAUUUAAAGUGGUACGCGAGCUGGGUUUAGAACGUCGUGAGACAGUUCGGUCCCUAUCUGCCGUGGGCGCUGGAGAACUGAGGGGGGCUGCUCCUAGUACGAGAGGACCGGAGUGGACGCAUCACUGGUGUUCGGGUUGUCAUGCCAAUGGCACUGCCCGGUAGCUAAAUGCGGAAGAGAUAAGUGCUGAAAGCAUCUAAGCACGAAACUUGCCCCGAGAUGAGUUCUCCCUGACUCCUUGAGAGUCCUGAAGGAACGUUGAAGACGACGACGUUGAUAGGCCGGGUGUGUAAGCGCAGCGAUGCGUUGAGCUAACCGGUACUAAUGAACCGUGAGG